UGAAGCAGAGGACAGUGGCGGACGGGUGAGUAACGCGUGAGGAACCUGCCUUUCAGAGGGGGACAACAGUUGGAAACGACUGCUAAUACCGCAUGAUACAUUUGGGUGGCAUCAUCUGAAUGUCAAAGAUUUAUCGCUGAAAGAUGGCCUCGCGUCUGAUUAGCUAGUUGGUGGGGUAACGGCCCACCAAGGCGACGAUCAGUAGCCGGACUGAGAGGUUGACCGGCCACAUUGGGACUGAGAUACGGCCCAGACUCCUACGGGAGGCAGCAGUGGGGAAUAUUGGGCAAUGGGCGCAAGCCUGACCCAGCAACGCCGCGUGAAGGAAGAAGGCUUUCGGGUUGUAAACUUCUUUUAAGAGGGAAGAGCAGAAGACUGUACCUCUAGAAUAAGCCACGGCUAACUACGUGCCAGCAGCCGCGGUAAUACGUAGGUGGCAAGCGUUGUCCGGAUUUACUGGGUGUAAAGGGCGUGCAGCCGGGAAUGCAAGUCAGAUGUGAAAUCCAUGGGCUUAACCCAUGAACUGCAUUUGAAACUGUAUUUCUUGAGUACUGGAGAGGCAAUCGGAAUUCCUAGUGUAGCGGUGAAAUGCGUAGAUAUUAGGAGGAACACCAGUGGCGAAGGCGGAUUGCUGGACA
Molecule: ribosomal RNA, 638 nt
Filed under: uncultured bacterium
Lineage: Bacteria
Description: bacterial SSU rRNA
Rfam family: Bacterial small subunit ribosomal RNA
Source: RNAcentral